GUCAUGUCAUAUGUGAGAAGGAAGUUCAGGGUUUUUCUUCUUGUUGUUUACUUUAGUCAAAGUAACACCUCUGUACUCACAACUACGAUGAGAACUGUGCCAUAAAAGUCAGAAAUUGUCGAAGGAGCUCAAUCACAAACCUCACGGAGCUGAAGAAUGAUGGAGAGCGCUGACGUUAAAGUGAAAGUAAUUAAGAGACAAAGCAAAGACUAUGCUACUAACUCAGUCCUGUGGCCUGUCUUUCUUCAGCGCUGAGGACGUAUCCCUGCCAAUAAGAGAAGCCGGUGUUUUAGAUGACGCUGAUAUAUUUUAUGCACAGCAAAAUUCAAUGCCAAACACACGCCGUCGCCAAAAACAGAAGACAGUACGUUAGAUGACAUAAGAUUCAAAUGCUGGUGUCAUGGUGAAUGCCUCUGAAUAUCUCAUGUCCUCUGUGUCACAGAAUGAAUACGACGGGAGGUUUUACCAAACCAGAGAGCAGAGAGAUGCAGUUCAGGAUUGGAUGAGACGCCACCUGAUAAGUCAUCUGGAAGAAACUCUGUGAGCUCCAUCCAAUCAUUUGACUCAGGGUACGAUUCAAAGAGGUGCACGCGCUUUUUAUCCAUCUCUGAAUUUGAUGAAUAAACAAGCAUAAUCAUUUAUGAACGGCGGUGACCGGCCAUGAAUUGGUUUGUGAUUCAGUCAGUUACACAGUUACUGAAAUAUUCAAAACAGUUUCUUAAUCAAUAAACAGCAGCAAAGUGCAUUACUCUAAACAGAUUAGAAAUGAUAUCCAUUUAUGAAUAAAUAUCCCUGAUGUUUUUCUGUACUAAUGGUCAGCUAAGCACUGGGGACAUAUUGUCAUUUAUUAUUAUAACAUUUUGCUGUGUGAUGUUCAUGCAGCAGACUGAAAAGGAAUAUACUGCUAUGACAAAUAUCUAAAAAAAGUGCAUACAGGCAUCUAAAGUGAAACAAUAUAGACCACGCUGCAUGUCACACACAAAUACCCUUUCGUUGUAAAGAACUGAUGUGCUAGAAAAGUAUCUGAUGUAACUUAUUGAUUGUUUUUCUUUAAUGUAUGUUUUGUCCACUCAGCGUCCAAUCAUGUGUUUUUGAACAGCUUGUGUAUUUUACUGUAUAAAAAUGAAAUGCAUAUUUAAUGCAUGCCUAAGUUUGACUAAAUUAUUUUCGGUGUGAAAGUCAUUGACUAUAGUGUAAAAAAAUAAACACUAUAAACUAAA
Molecule: RNA transcript, 1220 nt
Organism: Puntigrus tetrazona (Sumatra barb)
Lineage: Eukaryota; Metazoa; Chordata; Actinopteri; Cypriniformes; Cyprinidae
Exons: 6
Source: RefSeq, a predicted model, not a curated record